This 862-nucleotide ribosomal RNA is filed under the name Bacillus sp. (in: firmicutes). RNAcentral describes it as "bacterial SSU rRNA". It matches the Rfam family "Bacterial small subunit ribosomal RNA", at positions 77 to 921 of the family's 1533-position model. The record is from RNAcentral. Lineage: Bacteria; Bacillati; Bacillota; Bacilli; Caryophanales; Bacillaceae.
AGCUUGCUCCCUGAUGUCAGCGGCGGACGGGUGAGUAACACGUGGGUAACCUGCCUGUAAGACUGGGAUAACUCCGGGAAACCGGGGCUAAUACCGGAUGCUUGAUUGAACCGCAUGGUUCAAUUAUAAAAGGUGGCUUUUAGCUACCACUUACAGAUGGACCCGCGGCGCAUUAGCUAGUUGGUGAGGUAACGGCUCACCAAGGCGACGAUGCGUAGCCGACCUGAGAGGGUGAUCGGCCACACUGGGACUGAGACACGGCCCAGACUCCUACGGGAGGCAGCAGUAGGGAAUCUUCCGCAAUGGACGAAAGUCUGACGGAGCAACGCCGCGUGAGUGAUGAAGGUUUUCGGAUCGUAAAACUCUGUUGUUAGGGAAGAACAAGUACCGUUCGAAUAGGGCGGUACCUUGACGGUACCUAACCAGAAAGCCACGGCUAACUACGUGCCAGCAGCCGCGGUAAUACGUAGGUGGCAAGCGUUGUCCGGAAUUAUUGGGCGUAAAGCGCGCGCAGGCGGUUUCUUAAGUCUGAUGUGAAAGCCCCCGGCUCAACCGGGGAGGGUCAUUGGAAACUGGGGAACUUGAGUGCAGAAGAGGAGAGUGGAAUUCCACGUGUAGCGGUGAAAUGCGUAGAGAUGUGGAGGAACACCAGUGGCGAAGGCGACUCUCUGGUCUGUAACUGACGCUGAGGCGCGAAAGCGUGGGGAGCGAACAGGAUUAGAUACCCUGGUAGUCCACGCCGUAAACGAUGAGUGCUAAGUGUUAGAGGGUUUCCGCCCUUUAGUGCUGCAGCAAACGCAUUAAGCACUCCGCCUGGGGAGUACGGUCGCAAGACUGAAACUCAAAGGAAUUGACGGGGGCC